This 497-nucleotide ribosomal RNA is filed under the name uncultured bacterium. RNAcentral describes it as "partial 16S ribosomal RNA". It matches the Rfam family "Bacterial small subunit ribosomal RNA", at positions 28 to 507 of the family's 1533-position model. The record is from RNAcentral.
GACGAACGCCGGCGGCGUGCCUAAUACAUGCAAGUUGAGCGCUGAAGGUUGGUACUUGUACCCACUGGAUGAGCAGCGAACGGGUGAGUAACGCGUGGGGAAUCUGCCUUUGAGCGGGGGACAACAUUUGGAAACGAAUGCUAAUACCGCAUAAAAACUUUAAACACAAGUUUUAAGUUUGAAAGAUGCAAUUGCAUCACUCAAAGAUGAUCCCGCGUUGUAUUAGCUAGUUGGUGAGGUAAAGGCUCACCAAGGCGAUGAUACAUAGCCGACCUGAGAGGGUGAUCGGCCACAUUGGGACUGAGACACGGCCCAAACUCCUACGGGAGGCAGCAGUAGGGAAUCUUCGGCAAUGGACGAAAGUCUGACCGAGCAACGCCGCGUGAGUGAAGAAGGGUGUCGGAUCGUAAAACUCUGUUGGUAGAGAAGAACGUUGGUGAGAGUGGAAAGCUCAUCAAGUGACGGUAACUACCCAGAAAGGGACGGCUAACUACGUG